AAUAAGCUGGCGGCAUGCCUUAACACAUGCAAGUCGAACGAAGCCUUCGGGCUUAGUGGCGCACGGGUGCGUAACACGUGGGAAUCUGCCCUUCGGUUCGGAAUAACAGUUAGAAAUGACUGCUAAUACCGGAUGAUGACGAAAGUCCAAAGAUUUAUCGCCGAAGGAUGAGCCCGCGUAGGAUUAGGUAGUUGGUAGGGUAAUGGCCUACCAAGCCGACGAUCCUUAGCUGGUCUGAGAGGAUGAUCAGCCACACUGGGACUGAGACACGGCCCAGACUCCUACGGGAGGCAGCAGUGGGGAAUAUUGGACAAUGGGCGAAAGCCUGAUCCAGCAAUGCCGCGUGAGUGAUGAAGGCCUUAGGGUUGUAAAGCUCUUUUACCUAGGGAUGAUAAUGACAGUACCUGGAGAAUAAGCUCCGGCUAACUCCGUGCCAGCAGCCGCGGUAAAACGUCGACUG
This 460-nucleotide ribosomal RNA is filed under the name uncultured bacterium. RNAcentral describes it as "bacterial SSU rRNA". It matches the Rfam family "Bacterial small subunit ribosomal RNA", at positions 35 to 534 of the family's 1533-position model. The record is from RNAcentral.